CCUACGGGGGGCUGCAGUAAGGAAUAUUGGUCAAUGGACGGAAGUCUGAACCAGCCAUGCCGCGUGGAGGAUGAAGGCCCUCUGGGUUGUAAACUUCUUUUAUGUAGGAAGAAAAGCACCGAUUCUUCGGUGUUUGACGGUACUAUAGGAAUAAGCACCGGCUAACUCCGUGCCAGCAGCCGCGGUAAUACGGAGGGUGCAAGCGUUAUCCGGAUUCACUGGGUUUAAAGGGUGCGUAGGCGGGUAAGUAAGUCAGUGGUGAAAGCCUGGAGCUU
This 275-nucleotide ribosomal RNA is filed under the name uncultured bacterium. RNAcentral's name for it is "partial 16S ribosomal RNA". It matches the Rfam family "Bacterial small subunit ribosomal RNA", at positions 338 to 610 of the family's 1533-position model. The record is from RNAcentral.